GAGCGCGCUAACUGCAGUCGAGCGGGGAAGGUAGCUUGCUACUUUACCUAGCGGCGGACGGGCUCGAGUAAUGCUUAGGAAUCUGCCUAUUAGUGGGGGACAACAUCUCGAAAGGGAUGCUAAUACCGCAUACGUCCUACGGGAGAAAGCAGGGGACCUUCGGGCCUUGCGCUAAUAGAUGAGCCUAAGUCGGAUUAGCUAGUUGGUGGGGUAAAGGCCUACCAAGGCGACGAUCUGUAGCGGGUCUGAGAGGAUGAUCCGCCACACUGGGACUGAGACACGGCCCAGACUCCUACGGGAGGCAGCAGUGGGGAAUUUUGGACAAUGGGGGGAACCCUGAUCCAGCCUUGCCGCGUGUGUGAAAAAGGCCUUUUGUUUGUAAAGCCUUUUUAGCGAGGAGGAGGCUACCCAGAAUUAAUACUCCUUGGAUAGGGGGACCUUACCUCCCCAAAAAUAAAUCCCGGAUAAUUUUUGUGCCAACAACCCGCCGGUAUUAACAAAAGGGGGGAAGCCGUUAAAUCCGGAUUUUAUCGGGGCCGAAAAAGCGCCGCCGUUAGGGGGGCCCCCUUUAUGUCCAAUUGGGGAAAAAUCCGCCCGAACCUUUAACCUGGGGGAAAAUCGGCAUUUCCACAUACCGGGGUUGGGUCUAUAAAAUAAUGGGGGAAAGAAGGAAUGGAUAAAAAAUUUCCCGGGGGGGAAGCCGGGUGGAAAUUUGUCCCUUAAAAAAUCUCUGGGAGGAAAACUCCCCAUAUGGGGGAAAGGGGAACCCCUCUCUGGGCCCUUAAAUAUACUAAACCUCUGGGAGGGUGCAAAAGACUUUGGGGGGGGCAAACACGGGAUUUAAAAACCCCCUGGGUGGAUCCCCUGCCCCUAAAACAAUAUUUC
RNAcentral lists this ribosomal RNA (885 nucleotides) under Acinetobacter sp. M11. RNAcentral describes it as "partial 16S ribosomal RNA". The stretch from base 1 to 512 matches the Rfam family "Bacterial small subunit ribosomal RNA", at positions 44 to 539 of the family's 1533-position model. Lineage: Bacteria; Pseudomonadati; Pseudomonadota; Gammaproteobacteria; Moraxellales; Moraxellaceae. The record is from RNAcentral.